CCCGCUGAGGACCGAGCUCCUGGAUAAGUGGGCUGGCAGAUAAUAACAGCAUGCGGAUGAGAUACCAUCCUUGCGGUUCUCCUGCCUCCACCAAGACCUGCCCUGUCUGUGGUCACUUCAAGUCUUCUGAUGGGCUGCGCUCAGAUCUUGAGAAAUGGCCACCCUGGGGUAAAAGGGACCAUGAAUCAGGAGGUCCAGAUUUCUUUUCUUUUUCAACACUGGGGCUAACAUGUAGACGAUGCCACAGUCAUCAUCUUCUAAUAAAAUUAGAUAAAUAUAAGACAAAUAAAUUCUUACCUUAAAAAAAAAAACCCUCCCCUCCACAGGAGAUCCCGAUUUAGUCCCUUCCCUGUGUGCACUAGACGUGAGCCUGAGGGUGGAUUUUACCAUCUGGGGACAGAGCAAGAACAGAAGGGGGAAAAAGGUGCAGGGGACAAGACGCACAGUCUGUAGAGCUUGUACUGUCUCACUCAAAUUAAUGAGAAAGAGUGAACAGAAUGAGAAAAUAGGCACAACAUGCUUAUGAUAUUUAUGCAAAUUUGACAUUUUUUUGUGUGCUGCAUCUGACAACCCAUUGUGAAAUGUGAAAAAGAGUAUUGGCUGUAGCUCUAAUAUCUGAUUGUUUCAUGUUCUAGCUGUCAUAGGCAAGAAACUUAGUGGAUUAUUUCAGAGAGGGAGAGGUGAAGAGAACCAAGUGGUAUUUUUUUUCCCCCAGGCAGUCACUAAGUAACUGUUUGUUCUCUUCUCAGACUGUGUCUGCUUACAGGGUAUUGGAAUUGGCUAAUUCUGUCUUGGAAAAAGGAGCAGCAGUCAAGGCUCAAUCAAAUUAUAACUGCUGCUAGACCAGACAGUCCCAAGUGGACAAAGAAAUAGAUCACAUUUUGGGUUGUGCUUAAUUUCAGAUAUUCAUUUUCACUUGAACAAAUAAUU
Molecule: long non-coding RNA, 930 nt
Filed under: Homo sapiens (human)
Lineage: Eukaryota; Metazoa; Chordata; Mammalia; Primates; Hominidae
Description: HSALNT0232109
Source: RNAcentral